GACGAACGCUGGCGGCGUGCUUAACACAUGCAAGUCGAACGGAAAGGCCCUGCUUGCAGGGUACUCGAGUGGCGAACGGGUGAGUAACACGUGGGUGAUCUGCCCUGCACUUCGGGAUAAGCCUGGGAAACUGGGUCUAAUACCGGAUAGGAGCCAUUUUUAGUGUGAUGGUUGGAAAGUUUUUUCGGUGUAGGAUGAGCUCGCGGCCUAUCAGCUUGUUGGUGGGGUAAUGGCCUACCAAGGCGGCGACGGGUAGCCGGCCUGAGAGGGUGGACGGCCACAUGGGGACUGAGAUACGGCCCAGACUCCUACGGGAGGCAGCAGUGGGGAAUAUUGCACAAUGGGCGCAAGCCUGAUGCAGCGACGCCGCGUGGGGGAUGACGGCCUUCGGGUUGUAAACUCCUUUCGCUAGGGACGAAGCUUUUGUGACGGGACCUAGAUAAGAAGCACCGGCUAACUACG
This 462-nucleotide ribosomal RNA is filed under the name uncultured bacterium. RNAcentral describes it as "partial 16S ribosomal RNA". It matches the Rfam family "Bacterial small subunit ribosomal RNA", at positions 28 to 505 of the family's 1533-position model. The record is from RNAcentral.